UGCCGGGUGAUUUUAUAUUUCUAUUGAAACUUUUCUCAUUGUAUGAAUACAAAAAAUAUUAAAUAAAUGAAAAUUUGCAUGUUGUCAUUGUUAUAAUGCACAAGUCCAACUACGAACUCCAGUUUUAUAUUUGUUAUCCAUGAAUGCCAAAUGUUAUUGAAAGAAUUGCAAACGAAUGAAAUCCUUCGUCUCCAUGAACAGCAAAUUAGGAGUUCUCAGAACCAGCAGUUUGCUAUUCUUUGCUGCACAAACACCCAAAAAACCACUACACACAUGCUCGGGUCAGUCAUUGGUUUGUUAUCCACUGCACGAACCAAGUUAUUAUUAUUUCAAGUGAAUCUCUGUUUAUGUGUUAGGUUUAUUUUUGACUUACUGGCAUGUUUAGUAAAUUUUUUGUGUGUGGUGCUUUGAUAGUUGAAUAAAAGUGACAUCUGAAGACAUCAGAUUUUUUUCCCAAAGAAAUUCUGAGAAUUAUUCAAGUGAGUAUAUUUUUACAAAUGCAAGUAAAAUUAAAAAUUAGUAAGAAUUUAAUAAAAUGUUAAAUUGAUAAAAGUUGUUAUAAAUUUUUAAGUAUCAGGUGAU
RNAcentral lists this long non-coding RNA (582 nucleotides) under Androctonus crassicauda. Lineage: Eukaryota; Metazoa; Arthropoda; Arachnida; Scorpiones; Buthidae. The record is from RNAcentral.